UGGGGAAUAUUGCACAAUGGGGGAAACCCUGAUGCAGCCAUGCCGCGUGUGUGAAGAAGGCCUUCGGGUUGUAAGCACUUUCAGCGAGGAGGAAAGGUUGUCGCCUAAUACGCGUCAACUGUGACGUUACUCGCAGAAAAAGCACCGGCUAACUCCGUGC
This 160-nucleotide ribosomal RNA is filed under the name uncultured bacterium. Its description in RNAcentral is "partial 16S ribosomal RNA". It matches the Rfam family "Bacterial small subunit ribosomal RNA", at positions 355 to 508 of the family's 1533-position model. The record is from RNAcentral.